CCUACGGGGGGCAGCAGUGGGGAAUAUUGCACAAUGGGGGAAACCCUGAUGCAGCGACGCCGCGUGAGUGAAGAAGUAUUUCGGUAUGUAAAGCUCUAUCAGCAGGGAAGAAAAUGACGGUACCUGAGGAAGAAGCCCCGGCUAACGACGUGCCAGCAGCCGCGGUCAGACGUCGGGGGCAAGCGUUCUCCGGAUUUACUGGGUGUAAAGGGAGCGUAGACGGCAGCGCAAGUCUGAAGUGAAAUGCCGGGGCUUAACCCCGGAACGGCUUUGGAAACUGGGCAGCUAGAGUGCAGGAGAGCUAAGUGGGAUUCCUAGUGUAGCGGUGAAAUGCGUGCAUAUUAGGAGGAACACCAGUGGCGACGGCGGCUUACUGGACUGUAACUGACGUUGCGGCUCGAACGCGUGGGGAGCAAACAGGAUUAGAUACCCUAGUAGUC
This 440-nucleotide ribosomal RNA is filed under the name uncultured bacterium. Its description in RNAcentral is "partial 16S ribosomal RNA". It matches the Rfam family "Bacterial small subunit ribosomal RNA", at positions 338 to 795 of the family's 1533-position model. The record is from RNAcentral.